CUUGGAGGUAGCCUAUGAUUUUCAAGUCCCUCUUGCCAGUGGGAAACUCAAGAGCAUCUGCUUUGCCCUGCACACCCAAGUGUGUGAUAUUGCACAACUGCCGAGAUCACAGAACCAGGUCAAGGUGUUCUACUGUCUCCCUCUGCUUGACCAAUUUAUUUCCCUUGUGGGCUCCUGGCUUAAGACCGACAAGGAGGCAAGCCAUGUGGUGUCCCUUGCAAUCUUAAGUGGCAUCAUUGCUUCUGACUGUAAGUAUGACCAGAGCAAACAUAUUGACUGCUGUCUUGGUUGACCCCUCAGGAACUGAAUAAGGACUGUCCAGGAUGAAUAACCUGUCCUGCUCUAACUGCACUCAAGAGCCCUGGCUGUGUAGAGCUAGAGCCAGACCUCCAAUCUCUGCUGGUCAGUCACAGAGGGCCAGUAGCAUGCUGAGUCCUGCUGUAUGACACAGGAAUGCUGGGUCCAAAUCCUGCUUUGACACCUUUCCUGGCAGCACUCUGAAGUCAAGAGGUUUAACAAGACCUUUGUGA
Gavialis gangeticus (Gharial) is the source of this 530-nucleotide long non-coding RNA. RefSeq lists it as uncharacterized. The transcript is spliced from 3 exons. Lineage: Eukaryota; Metazoa; Chordata; Crocodylia; Gavialidae. The record is from RefSeq and is a predicted model, not a curated record.